RNAcentral lists this ribosomal RNA (115 nucleotides) under Bacillus paralicheniformis. Lineage: Bacteria; Bacillati; Bacillota; Bacilli; Caryophanales; Bacillaceae. The record is from RNAcentral.
UUUGGUGGCGAUAGCGAAGAGGUCACACCCGUUCCCAUGCCGAACACGGAAGUUAAGCUCUUCAGCGCCGAUGGUAGUUGGGGGCUUCCCCCUGUAGAGUAGGACGCCGCCAAGC